GAGUGUUCAAGCGGUUCACCACCUCCCGAACCGCUUGGGUCCGACGGACAGCAGGCUGUCAGUCACUAUCGGAGCCCUGCGCCCCUCAUCCCGUGCUGGGCCAUCUUU
This 108-nucleotide small RNA is filed under the name Rhizobium leguminosarum. RNAcentral's name for it is "ar14". It matches the Rfam family "Alphaproteobacterial ar14". From Rfam's summary of the family: Smr14C2 was renamed NfeR1 (Nodule Formation Efficiency RNA) highly expressed in salt stress and during the symbiotic interaction on legume roots. Lineage: Bacteria; Pseudomonadati; Pseudomonadota; Alphaproteobacteria; Hyphomicrobiales; Rhizobiaceae. RNAcentral also lists the same sequence under 1 other name. The record is from RNAcentral.